GUCCACGCCCUAAACGAUGAGAACUAGCCGUUGGAGGAGUUAAAUCCUUUAGUGGCGCAGCUAACGCGAUAAGUUCUCCGCCUGGGGAGUACGGCCGCAAGGUUAAAACUCAAAGGAAUUGACGGGGGCCCGCACAAGCGGUGGAGUAUGUGGUUCAAUUCGAUGCAACGCGAAAAACCUUACCUGCCCUUGACAUCCUCGGAACUUGUCAGAGAUGACUUGGUGCCUUCGGGAACCGAGAGACAGGUGCUGCAUGGCUGUCGU
This 264-nucleotide ribosomal RNA is filed under the name uncultured bacterium. RNAcentral's name for it is "partial 16S ribosomal RNA". It matches the Rfam family "Bacterial small subunit ribosomal RNA", at positions 793 to 1055 of the family's 1533-position model. The record is from RNAcentral.